UACGCGAAGAACCUUACCCACCUUUGACAUGUACGGAAUUUGCCAGAGAUGGAGUGUUCCCUUCGGGGACCGGAGCACAGGUGCUGCAUGGCUGUCGUCAGCUCGUGUCGUGAGAUGUUGGGUUAAGUCCCGCAACGAGCGCAACCCUUGUCAUUAGUUGCUACAUUUAGUUGGGCACUCUAAUGAGACUGCCGGUGACAAACCGGAGGAAGGUGGGGAUGACGUCAAGUCCUCAUGGCCCUUAUAGGUGGGGCUACACACGUCAUACAAUGGCUGGUACAAAGGGUUGCCAACCCGCGAGGGGGAGCUAAUCCCAUAAAACCAGUCGUAGUCCGGAUCGCAGUCUGCAACUCGACUGCGUGAAGUCGGAAUCGCUAGUAAUCGUGGAUCAGAAUGUCACGGUGAAUACGUUCCCGGGCCUUGUACACACC
Molecule: ribosomal RNA, 431 nt
Filed under: uncultured Variovorax sp.
Lineage: Bacteria; Pseudomonadati; Pseudomonadota; Betaproteobacteria; Burkholderiales; Comamonadaceae
Description: bacterial SSU rRNA
Rfam family: Bacterial small subunit ribosomal RNA
Source: RNAcentral